GAAAAAAAGUAAUAUAUACACAAAAAAAAAUAAAAAUAAAAAUAAAAAAUAAAAAAUAAAAAUGU
RNAcentral lists this ribosomal RNA (65 nucleotides) under Heterosigma akashiwo. RNAcentral describes it as "partial Trypanosomatid mitochondrial large subunit ribosomal RNA". The record is from RNAcentral. Lineage: Eukaryota; Raphidophyceae; Chattonellales; Chattonellaceae.